CUCUCUUGGUGCUCAACCCUACCUGAGCCCCAUAGUCUUUUACUGGUGCUCACCCUUCUUUGAGCUUCUAGACUUUAUUGGUGCUCACCCCUACUGGGGCUCGUGGACUGCUUAGCUGCUCUGCCCUGACUGCAGGCCAGAGCCCCCUCAUUGCUUUGCUGCCCUGCCCUGCCUGACUGGGCCUGGGGCUCAGAGACUGCUGUACUGUUCUGCCCAGCCGGAGGACUGGAGCAUUAGGUGAAGCUAAUUCCCCCCCUUUGAGCUCUCCUUUACAGGUACCCGACAGCAAGGAGGCAUGGCCUCCCUCAGAGACUGACAGGGAGGGAUGGCCACGCAGCCUACACAAAUCCUAAAUCAAGUUUCACUUGCUUGAGAUCUUGGAUGUCUUACGAGAAUUGGUUUCCCAGUCCUUCAUAAAAGUCUUCUGGAAAAACAAGAGCAUCUUCAAGAUGAGAACAGGUGAUGGCAAACAAGGGACAGAUCCUACGGCAAGGAAGAUGGUUCUCAUGCACAAGCACACAAAGACAACAGUGAUGCUCAUAUGUGCUUUGUGAAGUAACUGGAAGCAUCGCUGAGAAAAUUAUGAUUGUUCUGAGGGUUAAAGGUGAGGAGAUCUGGGCUCUACCUCCAACUCUGCCACACACUUGCUGUGUGACCUUGGGCCAGUCACUUUACCCAUGUGCCCCAGUUUACCCAUGUGAAAUGGGGAUAAUACCACCUUGAUUCCUCAUAGGGUGCUUUUAGGCUUAUUUCAUUAAUGUUUGCACAGCACUCUGACGCCAGCUUAGCUUGUGUGUGGACUUAGGAAGUUCAUAUGUUGCCUUUCUAUAACACCUUCUACCAGAAGGAUCUCAGCAUGAGUAGCAGUGUCCUUGUUAGCCAGAAAACGUUGGGAACAGUCAAGAGUGUCACAUU
This is a long non-coding RNA of Chelonia mydas (Green sea turtle), 915 nucleotides long. RefSeq lists it as uncharacterized. Lineage: Eukaryota; Metazoa; Chordata; Testudines; Cheloniidae. The record is from RefSeq and is a predicted model, not a curated record. The transcript is spliced from 3 exons.